UACGGAGGGUGCGAGCGUUGUCCGGAAUCACUGGGCGUAAAGGGCGCGUAGGCGGCCUGAUAAGUAGGGGGUGAAAUCUUGCGGCUUAACCGCAAGGCUGCCUUCUAAACUGUCAGGCUAGAGCACAGUAGAGGCAGGUGGAAUUCCCGGUGUAGCGGUGGAAUGCGUAGAGAUCGGGAAGAACAUCAGUGGCGAAGGCGGCCUGCUGGGCUGUUGCUGACGCUGAGGCGCGACAGCGUGGGGAGCGAACAGG
Molecule: ribosomal RNA, 253 nt
Filed under: uncultured bacterium
Lineage: Bacteria
Description: partial 16S ribosomal RNA
Rfam family: Bacterial small subunit ribosomal RNA
Source: RNAcentral